UACGUAGGUGGCAAGCGUUAUCCGGAAUUAUUGGGCGUAAAGCGCGCGCAGGCGGUUUCUUAAGCCUGAUGUGAAAGCCCACGGCUCAACCGUGGAGGGUCAUUGGAAACUGGGGAACUUGAGUGCAGAAGAGAAAAGCGGAAUUCCACGUGUAGCGGUGAAAUGCGUAGAGAUGUGGAGGAACACCAGUGGCGAAGGCGGCUUUUUGGUCUGUAACUGACGCCGAGGCGCGAAAGCGUGGGGAGCAAACAGG
This 253-nucleotide ribosomal RNA is filed under the name uncultured bacterium. RNAcentral describes it as "partial 16S ribosomal RNA". It matches the Rfam family "Bacterial small subunit ribosomal RNA", at positions 524 to 776 of the family's 1533-position model. The record is from RNAcentral.